Lemur catta (Ring-tailed lemur) is the source of this 270-nucleotide long non-coding RNA. RefSeq lists it as uncharacterized. The transcript has 3 exons. The record is from RefSeq and is a predicted model, not a curated record. NCBI's taxonomy places the organism in Eukaryota, Metazoa, Chordata, Mammalia, Primates, Lemuridae.
CUGUGCAUAGAGCAGCCCAGAGAUAAGCAGACGGGAGCUUGGACCAGCUUUUAGAGAACUUUUCUGAUCAUCUUGGGCUCUCAGUCAACUUCCUCACUUUGAAGAUUUGAAUUUCCAGCCACAGAGAGGAGAGGAUCACUGCUCAAAAUCAAGCAAAAAGCUCCGACGGAGACAGAUGACAACCAGACUACUAAGGACCACGCAUGAUGUCACCUGGCCACGCCAGCCCCAGCCCGAGAUUCCGUCCCAUUUGAGAGUUGUUCCAACACC